UCUACAGGAGGAAAACCCGGAUCCCGCCCAGCUACUUGAAUGUGGAUUUCAUGGAAUGUGAAAAGUGAGAUUCCCAGAAGAACAUCAUUUCAGCAUAGAAAUCAAGUUUAUCAAUGGUGUAAUAAAAGUACCUUUCUAAAGCUA
Molecule: long non-coding RNA, 144 nt
Organism: Bombina bombina (fire-bellied toad)
Lineage: Eukaryota; Metazoa; Chordata; Amphibia; Anura; Bombinatoridae
Exons: 2
Source: RefSeq, a predicted model, not a curated record